AGAGAUUAGCUCAAUGGUAGAGCGGCUGUUUAACACACAGAUUGUUUGGGGUUCGAAUCCCAUAUUUUCUGC
RNAcentral lists this transfer RNA (72 nucleotides) under Nemania diffusa. RNAcentral's name for it is "tRNA-Val". It matches the Rfam family "tRNA". From Rfam's summary of the family: Transfer RNA (tRNA) molecules are approximately 80 nucleotides in length. The record is from RNAcentral. Lineage: Eukaryota; Fungi; Ascomycota; Sordariomycetes; Xylariales; Xylariaceae.